AUGGUGGAACCGGUGCUUGAGGAGGCGGAAGGAGGAACGAAGGGAGUUCGGGCGGGGUUAGGGCAUCUAGAGGCCAAGACAGCUGGAGGAGGAGGUCGAGGGGGAGGUUCUUCAUCCAGUAAUCCGAUCUUGGACAAAUCUGAAGAGGAAGCGAGGGAGGAGGAUGAGGCGGAUCUCCGCCAGGAGGAGGAAGAAGAUUGGGAUCACCUUGGCCACGAGCCGGCCCUAGAGGAUGUCUUUGAAGGAUUAAAACUUCAUGGAGAGGAGGAGGAAGACCUGGAUCUGUCAGGGGAAGUGGAAGAAUUGAUCAAGGAGGUUCGAUGGUUAUGCCUGUUUAGGGUUCAUACGAUGAGGCCGUUUAGCCAUGCGGCGCUACUAAACUCAUUGAGGAACGCGUGGUCAUGCGCCCAAGGAGUAACUUUCAAUAUCAAAGGACCAAAUCUCUUCCUAGCUCAGUGCCAUUGCUUGGGGGAUUGGAAGCGGGUGAUGGAAGGGGGGCCUUGGCAAUUCCGUAGAGAUCCAGUCGUCAUUGUGGAGUACGAUGGCUUUACUAAUGUUGCUGAGUAUGCUUUGGAUAUGUAUCCCUUAUGGGCUAGAAUCAAAGGCCUGCCGGAUGGCCUCACGAGAAAGAAGGAGCUGGCUGAGAAGGUGGCUAAGAAGGUGGGCAUGCCACCCUUUACUGUUGUUGUCAAUGAGGGCAGGAUUAACCCAUCGAGCUUUUUAUGGGUUGGGGUUUUUGUUAAUGUUCAUAAACCCUUGGUGAGAUUUGUACCUAUCACACUGAAAGAUUACAAGAGGUAUCCUGUUAGGUAUGAGAAAUUGCCGGACUUCUGCUAUUUUUUGUGGAUGCAUGGGUCAUGUGGUUGA
This 867-nucleotide ribosomal RNA is filed under the name Triticum aestivum (bread wheat). RNAcentral describes it as "partial small subunit ribosomal RNA". Lineage: Eukaryota; Viridiplantae; Streptophyta; Magnoliopsida; Poales; Poaceae. The record is from RNAcentral.